CUGGGGAUGGUGUGGCUGAUUCAGCUGUGGAGUGAUGCUGAAAUCAGGCUGCUGUGAUCAUUGGUCCUUGGCAGGUGCUGUAUCCCGGCUUCUGGCCUUUGUCCCUUGGACCAUGUAGUUGUUUUCUGCUGUGGCAGAAAUGUGUCACAGCUGUUGCUCAUGCUGGUGCUGCUUAUUGCAGAGGAUGUGUGGAACCCUUCAAAUCUCAAGCUCAUUAUAUCUGUCUGCAGCUGAAGACUCAGGAAGCCUUGGGAAAGAGCGUGCCUCUUGCUUGCUUUCCUGUCUGAUUUGAUCUUACCAAGGGGCCAUGGUGGAUCAUGAAAAUCUCCCUGCUCCCAACUGAGCAGUCACAGAGAAGCACUGGAUGUCCAUCUUCCUCCUUUGGCCUUGUCCUCAUUUGGAUACUGACCCUCUCCCCAGCACAGAUCGUCUCUCCUCUGCUAGACAUCCUUGUGUUCCCAUGCCCCAGUUUCCCAGGAAUGGAUGUGAAUGCAGCUGUUGGGAGAGUCGGUGCCCAUCUGCCUGGGUCGAAUGCUGCACUGGGAGCAACACUGCUGUUGCCUGUGGGGCAGAGCCAGGAUGUGAGUGAACACUUCAGAAUCAGGCUGGGGUGUGCAAGUUCAAGCACAGGCAGCCUGCAGUGAGGACCAGGUCUUGUCUUCUGCUGCAAUAUCUCAGUCUUGAAUGAAUGCUGUCCUACCAGCCUCUGUUUGGGCAAUAUGGAAAACAGCGGCCCUGCAGAUUCUUUUAGGGGUACGGAGUGAGUGGAGUGGUGAGGUGAACCAUAGCGUCCCUAUUUUAAAUAUGUUCUUAGAGAAAACAGAGAUUAUUCCCUGUGUGGAGGGAUAACCAGCAAAUUGAUACCUGCACGUCCUGAUGCAGGGAGCCAGAAACCCCUUGUGCUCUGGGCUGUGGCAGAGAAAAUGUAAACAAACUCCAGUUUUAUGUCUGACCAAGGAGAUAUAAACCAAGCAUAUAUUGUAGCCUUUUAAAUAUGUUGACAUUUUACAAUCCAUCAAAGCCUUUAAUUGUAUUUUGAGUGAGUUGUUCUGUAUGUAAAUACUAGUUAAUGUUGAAAUUGUUUAUAGCCAAAUUGUCUGUUUAUGCAAAUUGUGUUCCAAGAUCACAGAGCUUCUAUUGUACCAUAAAUAUGUCUGUUUUAUUUAAUGUUGGAAAUGUUUCCUUUGGCUGCUGUAGCUCUUCAGCGCUGCUAGUGUGGGGGCGAGUGCCAGCCUCCCCAUGGGGCAGAGAGAUGUGAUGGCUGCUCCAAGAGCUCCUGCUGUGCAUCUGACUC
This 1294-nucleotide long non-coding RNA is filed under the name Junco hyemalis (dark-eyed junco). RNAcentral's name for it is "lncRNA (ENSJHYG00000001675.1)". The record is from RNAcentral. Lineage: Eukaryota; Metazoa; Chordata; Aves; Passeriformes; Passerellidae.